Molecule: ribosomal RNA, 253 nt
Filed under: uncultured bacterium
Lineage: Bacteria
Description: partial 16S ribosomal RNA
Rfam family: Bacterial small subunit ribosomal RNA
Source: RNAcentral
UACGUAGGGUCCGAGCGUUGUCCGGAAUUACUGGGCGUAAAGAGCUCGUAGGUGGUUUGUCGCGUUGUUCGUGAAAACUCACAGCUCAACUGUGGGCGUGCGGGCGAUACGGGCAGACUAGAGUACUGCAGGGGAGACUGGAAUACUUGGUGUAGCAGUGAAAUGCGUAGAUAUCAAGUGGAACACCAGUGGCGAAGGCGAGUCUCUGGACAUUUCCUGACGCUGAGGCACGAAAGCCAGGGGAGCAAACGGG